AUUGAACGCUGGCGGCAGGCCUAACACAUGCAAGUCGAGCGGAUGAAGGGAGCUUGCUCCUGGAUUCAGCGGCGGACGGGUGAGUAAUGCCUAGGAAUCUGCCUGGUAGUGGGGGAUAACGUCCGGAAACGGGCGCUAAUACCGCAUACGUCCUGAGGGAGAAAGUGGGGGAUCUUCGGACCUCACGCUAUCAGAUGAGCCUAGGUCGGAUUAGCUAGUUGGUGGGGUAAAGGCCUACCAAGGCGACGAUCCGUAACUGGUCUGAGAGGAUGAUCAGUCACACUGGAACUGAGACACGGUCCAGACUCCUACGGGAGGCAGCAGUGGGGAAUAUUGGACAAUGGGCGAAAGCCUGAUCCAGCCAUGCCGCGUGUGUGAAGAAGGUCUUCGGAUUGUAAAGCACUUUAAGUUGGGAGGAAGGGCAGUAAGUUAAUACCUUGCUGUUUUGACGUUGGCAACAGAAUAGGCAGGGGCUAACUUCGUG
RNAcentral lists this ribosomal RNA (484 nucleotides) under uncultured bacterium. RNAcentral describes it as "partial 16S ribosomal RNA". It matches the Rfam family "Bacterial small subunit ribosomal RNA", at positions 30 to 507 of the family's 1533-position model. The record is from RNAcentral.